CCUACGGGAGGCAGCAGUGAGGAAUAUUGGUCAAUGGGCGCAAGUCUGAACCAGCCAUGCCGCGUGCAGGAAGACGGCUCUAUGUGUUGUAAACUGCAUUUGUACGAGGGUAAACGCCGAUACGCGUCUCUGUCUCCACGUCUCGUUCGAAUAAGGAUCGGCUAACUCCGUGCCAGCAGCCGCGGUAAUACGGAGGAGUCAAGCGUUAUCCGGAUUUAUUGGGUUUAAAGGGUGCGUAGGUUGGUUUAUAAGUUAGCGGUGAAAUCCCGAUGCUCAACAUCGGGGCUGCCGCUGAUACUGUAGGACUAGAGUUCGGAUGAGGCAGGCGGAAUGUGUAGUGUAGCGGUGAAAUGCAUAGAUAUUACACAGAACACCGAUUGCGAAGGCAGCUUGCUAGGCCGGAACUGACGCUGAGGCACGAAAGCGUGGGGAUCGAACAGGAUUAGAUACCCCAGUAGUC
This 460-nucleotide ribosomal RNA is filed under the name uncultured bacterium. RNAcentral describes it as "partial 16S ribosomal RNA". It matches the Rfam family "Bacterial small subunit ribosomal RNA", at positions 338 to 795 of the family's 1533-position model. The record is from RNAcentral.